This 250-nucleotide long non-coding RNA is filed under the name Elaeis guineensis (African oil palm). RNAcentral's name for it is "long non-coding RNA (EGUI_LNC072759)". The record is from RNAcentral. Lineage: Eukaryota; Viridiplantae; Streptophyta; Magnoliopsida; Arecales; Arecaceae.
CAUCGGAUAAUUUUUAUCAGUAGAUUAUCUCAUUGCAGAUAAUGCCAAGAAAUCCUAGAUAUCUCAUGUUUAUUGUUAAUAGCAUGAUAGUUCUUUUAUUAGUUCAAACCUAGAAGGUCUUGACAUAGAUCUUUUUUUUUUUUGAAAUUUAACAUUGUUGCUCUAAUUGACAUAGAAGAUUGAGAUUUUUUUGAGAUGAAAGUCCACCUGUUAAAUUUGUUGGAAGGUCAUUAGAAGAAAGAAAUAGAUG